This 497-nucleotide ribosomal RNA is filed under the name uncultured bacterium. RNAcentral's name for it is "partial 16S ribosomal RNA". It matches the Rfam family "Bacterial small subunit ribosomal RNA", at positions 28 to 507 of the family's 1533-position model. The record is from RNAcentral.
GAUGAACGCUGGCGGCGUGCCUAAUACAUGCAAGUCGAGCGAACGGACGAGAAGCUUGCUUCUCUGAUGUUAGCGGCGGACGGGUGAGUAACACGUGGAUAACCUACCUAUAAGACUGGGAUAACUUCGGGAAACCGGAGCUAAUACCGGAUGAUAUUUUGAACCGCAUGGUUCAAAAGUGAAAGACGGUCUUGCUGUCACUUAUAGAUGGAUCCGCGCUGCAUUAGCUAGUUGGUAAGGUAACGGCUUACCAAGGCAACGAUGCAUAGCCGACCUGAGAGGGUGAUCGGCCACACUGGAACUGAGACACGGUCCAGACUCCUAGGGGAGGCAGCAGUAGGGAAUCUUCCGAAAUGGGCGGAAGCCUGACGGAGCAACGCCGCGUGAGUGAUGAAGGUCUUCGGAUCGUAAAACUCUGUUAUUAGUGAAGAACAUAUGUGUAAGUAACUGUGCACAUCUUGACGGUACCUAAUCAGAAAGCCACGGCUAACUACGUG